UUUUGAUUGUAGCUCAGAAAGCCGGAACCAUGAACAGGCUAUCGAGUCGCAAUCAAAGAC
Molecule: microRNA precursor, 60 nt
Filed under: Nautilus pompilius
Lineage: Eukaryota; Metazoa; Mollusca; Cephalopoda; Nautilida; Nautilidae
Description: Npo-Mir-315_pre stem-loop
Source: RNAcentral